GGCUUUGCUGCAUAAUGAAUUUUUGGGACAAUACUUCUGUUCAGCACUCAGUACAACACCUGGCCGUAUAUGUUCCAACUAUGUAAUGUGUUCUGGUGAUGAAUUCUUGAUGAUACAGGACAUCGAUCUCUCACUCUGGGGGUUGUGGAAGAAUCACGUGGCUUUGGCUUCUCUGAUGAUUAUUUUUCUCACAAUUGCAUACCUAAAAUUUUUAUUUCUUAAAACACCAAUUUUCGCUUCAAUUUUCUAUGAAUUAGAUUUACAUUUAAAAAGGACCUUGAUUUAAGUAUCUAAUGAGAAUAUCUUGUUAUGUUCUGUUCAUUUCCAUUACACUAUAGAUCAGCAACAAUUUUUUUUCUUUUUUUUAUUGGUUGUUCAAAACAUUACAAAGCUCUUGACAUAAGCAACAAUUAUUUUUAAUAUAAAAAUACAGGACAACAAAUUGAAUUAAACAUCAAAUAACCCAAGCCAAAACCCAAUGAUAUUACAUAUUGCAUUUUAAUUUAUCUCAUCAGACAGCAAGCAUUAGGAGGAAAUGCUGGCUAAUUUAUUGAACUAAGGGGGAAAAAAGGAGGAUUUAACUCUAGAAGUUCUUGAAAAGUUGCUAAUAUCUCUGGUAUCAGUUUCCUCAUGUUCAAAAUGAGUAGGCCAGUAGCCCUCCAGUUGUUAUAGUCUAUAUAUCUUUGAUCUGUCAUUCUUCAAUAAAUAACAAAUGUGUUAAUGUUGUUUUGGAAGUAAAAAAAUUCAAAUACUU
Non-coding RNA from Ictidomys tridecemlineatus (thirteen-lined ground squirrel), 754 nucleotides. NCBI's taxonomy places the organism in Eukaryota, Metazoa, Chordata, Mammalia, Rodentia, Sciuridae. The record is from RefSeq and is a predicted model, not a curated record.